Molecule: long non-coding RNA, 101 nt
Organism: Priapulus caudatus
Lineage: Eukaryota; Metazoa; Priapulida; Priapulimorpha; Priapulimorphida; Priapulidae
Exons: 2
Source: RefSeq, a predicted model, not a curated record
UCGUUAAAUAGAAUCAAGAACACAUACAGUCACGACGUGAUAAAGUUGUCUUUAGAAGGUGCAUGAAACGGCUGUAAAACGAGGAUCCGAAUUUUUACAAA